This 253-nucleotide ribosomal RNA is filed under the name uncultured bacterium. Its description in RNAcentral is "partial 16S ribosomal RNA". It matches the Rfam family "Bacterial small subunit ribosomal RNA", at positions 524 to 776 of the family's 1533-position model. The record is from RNAcentral.
UACGUAGGGUGCGAGCGUUAAUCGGAAUUACUGGGCGUAAAGCGUGCGUAGGCGGUUUUGUAAGGCAGAUGUUAAAGCCCCGGGCUUAACCUGGGAAUGGCAUUUGGGACUGCAAGGCUUGAGUGCGGCAGAGGAGACUGGAAUUCCUGGUGUAGCAGUGAAAUGCGUAGAUAUCAGGAGGAAUACCGAUGGCGAAGGCAGGUCUCUGGGCUGACACUGACGCUCAUGCACGAAAGCGUGGGGAGCAAACAGG